This 937-nucleotide ribosomal RNA is filed under the name uncultured Stenotrophomonas sp. RNAcentral's name for it is "bacterial SSU rRNA". It matches the Rfam family "Bacterial small subunit ribosomal RNA", at positions 56 to 984 of the family's 1533-position model. The record is from RNAcentral. Lineage: Bacteria; Pseudomonadati; Pseudomonadota; Gammaproteobacteria; Lysobacterales; Lysobacteraceae.
UGCAGUCGAACGGCAGCACAGAGAGAGCUUGCUCCUUGGGUGGCGAGUGGCGGACGGGUGAGGAAUACAUCGGAAUCUACUUUUUCGUGGGGGAUAACGUAGGGAAACUUACGCUAAUACCGCAUACGACCUACGGGUGAAAGCAGGGGACCUUCGGGCCUUGCGCGAUUGAAUGAGCCGAUGUCGGAUUAGCUAGUUGGCGGGGUAAAGGCCCACCAAGGCGACGAUCCGUAGCUGGUCUGAGAGGAUGAUCAGCCACACUGGAACUGAGACACGGUCCAGACUCCUACGGGAGGCAGCAGUGGGGAAUAUUGGACAAUGGGCGCAAGCCUGAUCCAGCCAUACCGCGUGGGUGAAGAAGGCCUUCGGGUUGUAAAGCCCUUUUGUUGGGAAAGAAAUCCAGCUGGCUAAUACCCGGUUGGGAUGACGGUACCCAAAGAAUAAGCACCGGCUAACUUCGUGCCAGCAGCCGCGGUAAUACGAAGGGUGCAAGCGUUACUCGGAAUUACUGGGCGUAAAGCGUGCGUAGGUGGUCGUUUAAGUCCGUUGUGAAAGCCCUGGGCUCAACCUGGGAACUGCAGUGGAUACUGGGCGACUAGAGUGUGGUAGAGGGUAGCGGAAUUCCUGGUGUAGCAGUGAAAUGCGUAGAGAUCAGGAGGAACAUCCAUGGCGAAGCAGCUACCUGGACCAACACUGACACUGAGGCACGAAAGCGUGGGGAGCAAACAGAUUAGAUACCCUGGUAGUCCACGCCCUAAACGAUGCGAACUGGAUGUUGGGUGCAAUUUGGCACGCAGUAUCGAAGCUAACGCGUUAAGUUCGCCGCCUGGGGAGUACGGUCGCAAGACUGAAACUCAAAGGAAUUGACGGGGGCCCGCACAAGCGUGGAGUAUGUGGUUUAAUUCGAUGCAACGCGAAGAACCUUACCUGGCCUUGA